CCUACGGGGGGCAGCAGUGGGGAAUAUUGGACAAUGGGCGAAAGCCUGAUCCAGCCCUGCCGCGUGUGUGAAGAAGGCCUUCGGGUUGUAAAGCACUUUCAGUGGGGAAGAAAGCCUUGGGGCUAAUACCCUCGAGGAAGGACAUCACCCACAGAAGAAGCACCGGCUAACUCCGUGCCAGCAGCCGCGGUAAUACGGAGGGUGCGAGCGUUAAUCGGAAUUACUGGGCGUAAAGCGCGCGUAGGCGGUCUGAUAAGCCGGUUGUGAAAGCCCCGGGCUCAACCUGGGAACGGCAUCCGGAACUGUCAGGCUAGAGUGCAGGAGAGGAAGGUAGAAUUCCCGGUGUAGCGGUGAAAUGCGUAGAGAUCGGGAGGAAUACCAGUGGCGAAGGCGGCCUUCUGGACUGACACUGACGCUGAGGUGCGAAAGCGUGGGUAGCAAACAGGAUUAGAUACCCCUGUAGUC
This 465-nucleotide ribosomal RNA is filed under the name Vreelandella stevensii. Its description in RNAcentral is "partial 16S ribosomal RNA". It matches the Rfam family "Bacterial small subunit ribosomal RNA", at positions 338 to 795 of the family's 1533-position model. The record is from RNAcentral. Lineage: Bacteria; Pseudomonadati; Pseudomonadota; Gammaproteobacteria; Oceanospirillales; Halomonadaceae.